AUUUAUUAGUUUAAAAUAAAACCUUAUAUUUUCAAUAUAAAAAUAAAUAAAUCUUAUUUAUAAAUU
This 66-nucleotide transfer RNA is filed under the name Onthophagus clypeatus. RNAcentral's name for it is "tRNA-Glu". The record is from RNAcentral. Lineage: Eukaryota; Metazoa; Arthropoda; Insecta; Coleoptera; Scarabaeidae.